UUUAAUACAUAAAUUACUACAUUAAUAGCUAAUCUAUUACACCAUAAUUUUAUUUUUUGAAAAGAAGAUAUCAACUAAUUCUAUUACAAUUUCUAGAAAAUUAACAGCCAAGUGAACUCUUGCCCCUUUUGGAUAUAAUUGAUCCAACCAAAGCUUAGACCACCACAUGGAGACAUUAAUUUCAACAUGAUAACAAUAACCAAAUUCCACUUCUUGGCUUUAAAACUUGUUGAUUUCGCCAACUAGUGACCAAAUCCACAAGUUAUAGCCCGUGGAGCAACAUGACCACAAGUAAAACACUAUGUUACUCAUCACAAGUAGAAGCAAAAAAAAGAAACAACUUCAAUAGCUAAUAUUCAGAAUCAGUAACACAUUGUGAAAAUUUAACUAAAAAAAAUAUCUUCAAACAAGGUCACUUUUAAGAGAAAAAGCUACAAGUAUUAAUGUAUCAACCAAGUUAUUCAUAAUAGAUUAUUUCAAACCUUAAACUCACAUAUCGAUAGAUUAACUAGAUCUAUAACAAUGUAAUUAAUAACUACAUAAAAGGACACUCAUUCAUCACAUAUAAUUUACAUUUUUUGGUCUUAUAACAUUCAAACAAGCAGUACAUGAAGAAAGCUAAAAUCAUUACCUUGAAAAACAGCAAACACCAGCAGGAAAAACAAGUGAAAUGCUGGUUGAAACUUAAAGAUGGAGCAGCAACCAGAAACCAAACAGUAGCAGUAAGAAAUCAGCCCAGAAACCAAAGGACCAGCACUUAGACUUCUCAAAAAUCAGAGUACUAGAGAAAACCGGCCUAGAAAUCUAACUAGAAAACUGAUGUUUUAGCAAGAAAGUUUCAGGAAAUUUUCUCUUUUUGUAUUAUGAAAUUUUA
Molecule: long non-coding RNA, 874 nt
Filed under: Nicotiana tabacum (common tobacco)
Lineage: Eukaryota; Viridiplantae; Streptophyta; Magnoliopsida; Solanales; Solanaceae
Description: long non-coding RNA (NTAB_LNC006020)
Source: RNAcentral